This 916-nucleotide ribosomal RNA is filed under the name uncultured archaeon. RNAcentral describes it as "bacterial SSU rRNA". It matches the Rfam family "Archaeal small subunit ribosomal RNA", at positions 1 to 922 of the family's 1478-position model. The record is from RNAcentral.
UUCCGGUUGAUCCCGCCGGAGGCUACCGCUAUUGGAGUUCGAUUAAGCCAUGCGAGUCGAGAGUCUUAGGGACUCGGCGUACCGCUCAGUAACACGUGGGUAACCUGCCCUAUGCUGGGGAAUAACCCCGGGAAACUGAGAGUAAUGCCCCAUAGUCCACUACGCCUGGAACGGUGAGUGGAUCAAAGCUCCGGCGGCAUAGGAUGGGCCUGCGCCGUAUCAGGUUGUAGGGGGUGUAAAGUACCCUCUAGCCAUCAACGCGUACGGGUGUUGGGAGACAUUGCCCGGAGAUGGAUUCUGAGACACGAAUCCAGACCCUACGGGGUGCAGCAGGCGCGAAAACUUGGCAAUGCGAGCAAUCGUGACCAGGGAACUCCAAGUGCUUGGGGUAAGACCCAAGCUUUUCUUGACUCUUCAAAGGUCUUGGAAUAAGGGGUGGGUAAGGACGGUGCCAGCCGCCGCGGUAAUACCGGCGCCUCAAGUGGUAGUCGCUUUUAUUGGGCCUAAAACGUCCGUAGCCGGUCUGGUGCAUUCGUGGGUAAAUCAACCCGCUCAACGGGUUGAAUUCUGCGAGCACGGCCAGACUUGGGACCGGGAGAGGUGUGGGGUACUCUCAGGGUAGGGGUAAAAUCCUGUCAUCCUGAGAGGACCACCUGUUGCGAAGGCGCCACACUAGAACGGAUCCGACGGUCAGGGACGAAACCUAGGGGCACGAACCGGAUUAGAUACCCGGGUAGUCCUAGGUGUAAACGCUGUGGACUUGAUGUUGGGGGCGCUCCGAGCGCUUUCAGUGUCGAAGCGAAGGUGAUAAGUCCACUGCCUGGGGGAGUACGGUCGCAAGGCUGAAACUUAAAGGAAUUGGCGGGGGAGCACUGCAACCUGAGGAUUGUGCGGUUUAGUUGGAUUCAACGCCGGA